RNAcentral lists this ribosomal RNA (808 nucleotides) under uncultured bacterium. Its description in RNAcentral is "bacterial SSU rRNA". It matches the Rfam family "Bacterial small subunit ribosomal RNA", at positions 628 to 1436 of the family's 1533-position model. The record is from RNAcentral.
GGAAACUGGAUAACUNGAGUGCAGAAGAGGGUAGUGGAACUCCAUGUGUAGCGGUGGAAUGCGUAGAUAUAUGGAAGAACACCAGUGGCGAAGGCGGCUACCUGGUCUGCAACUGACGCUGAGACUCGAAAGCAUGGGUAGCGAACAGGAUUAGAUACCCUGGUAGUCCAUGCCGUAAACGAUGAGUGCUAGGUGUUGGAGGGUUUCCGCCCUUCAGUGCCGGAGCUAACGCAUUAAGCACUCCGCCUGGGGAGUACGACCGCAAGGUUGAAACUCAAAGGAAUUGACGGGGGCCCGCACAAGCGGUGGAGCAUGUGGUUUAAUUCGAAGCUACGCGAAGAACCUUACCAGGUCUUGACAUCUUGCGCCAACCCUAGAGAUAGGGCGUUUCCUUCGGGAACGCAAUGACAGGUGGUGCAUGGUCGUCGUCAGCUCGUGUCGUGAGAUGUUGGGUUAAGUCCCGCAACGAGCGCAACCCUUGUUACUAGUUGCCAGCAUUAAGUUGGGCACUCUAGUGAGACUGCCGGUGACAAACCGGAGGAAGGUGGGGACGACGUCAGAUCAUCAUGCCCCUUAUGACCUGGGCUACACACGUGCUACAAUGGACGGUACAACGAGUCGCGAACUCGCGAGGGCAAGCAAAUCUCUUAAAACCGUUCUCAGUUCGGACUGCGGGCUGCAACUCGCCUGCACGAAGUCGGAAUCGCUAGUAAUCGCGGAUCAGCAUGCCGCGGUGAAUACGUUCCCGGGCCUUGUACACACCGCCCGUCACACCAUGAGAGUUUGUAACACCCAAAGUCGGUGGGGU